UUAGCUCAGUUGGCUAGAGCAGCUGACUCUUAAUCAGCGGGUCGUGGGUUCAAGUCCCUCAACCC
This 65-nucleotide transfer RNA is filed under the name bovine gut metagenome. It matches the Rfam family "tRNA", at positions 7 to 64 of the family's 71-position model. From Rfam's summary of the family: Transfer RNA (tRNA) molecules are approximately 80 nucleotides in length. Their secondary structure includes four short double-helical elements and three loops (D, anti-codon, and T loops). The record is from RNAcentral.